GAUGAACGCUAGCUACAGGCUUAACACAUGCAAGUCGAGGGGCAGCAUGGUCUUAGCUUGCUAAGGCCGAUGGCGACCGGCGCACGGGUGAGUAACACGUAUCCAACCUGCCGUCUACUCUUGGACAGCCUUCUGAAAGGAAGAUUAAUACAAGAUGGCAUCAUGAGUCCACAUGUUCACAUGAUUAAAGGUAUUCCGGUAGACGAUGGGGAUGCGUUCCAUUAGAUAGUAGGCGGGGUAACGGCCCACCUAGUCUUCGAUGGAUAGGGGUUCUGAGAGGAAGGUCCCCCACAUUGGAACUGAGACACGGUCCAAACUCCUACGGGAGGCAGCAGUGAGGAAUAUUGGUCAAUGGGCGAGAGCCUGAACCAGCCAAGUAGCGUGAAGGAUGACUGCCCUAUGGGUUGUAAACUUCUUUUAUAAAGGAAUAAAGUCGGGUAUGGAUACCCGUUUGCAUGUACUUUAUGAAUAAGGAUCGGCUAACUCCGUGCCAGCAGCCGCGGUAAUACGGAGGAUCCGAGCGUUAUCCGGAUUUAUUGGGUUUAAAGGGAGCGUAGAUGGAUGUUUAAGUCAGUUGUGAAAGUUUGCGGCUCAACCGUAAAAUUGCAGUUGAUACUGGAUAUCUUGAGUGCAGUUGAGGCAGGCGGAAUUCGUGGUGUAGCGGUGAAAUGCUUAGAUAUCACGAAGAACUCCGAUUGCGAAGGCAGCCUGCUAAGCUGCAACUGACAUUGAGGCUCGAAGGUGUGGGUAUCAAACAGGAUUAGAUACCCUGGUAGUCCACACGGUAAACGAUGAAUACUCGCUGUUUGCGAUAUACAGCAAGCGGCCAAGCGAAAGCGUUAAGUAUUCCACCUGGGGAGUACGCCGGCAACGGUGAAACUCAAAGGAAUUGACGGGGGCCCGCACAAGCGGAGGAACAUGUGGUUUAAUUCGAUGAUACGCGAGGAACCUUACCCGGGCUUAAAUUGCAGAUGAAUUACGGUGAAAGCCGUAAGCCGCAAGGCAUCUGUGAAGGUGCUGCAUGGUUGUCGUCAGCUCGUGCCGUGAGGUGUCGGCUUAAGUGCCAUAACGAGCGCAACCCUUGUUGUCAGUUACUAACAGGUUCCGCUGAGGACUCUGACAAGACUGCCAUCGUAAGAUGUGAGGAAGGUGGGGAUGGCGUCAAAUCAGCACGGCCCUUACGUCCGGGGCUACACACGUGUUACAAUGGGGGGUACAGAGGGCCGCUACCACGCGAGUGGAUGCCAAUCCCAAAAACCUCUCUCAGUUCGGACUGGAGUCUGCAACCCGACUCCACGAAGCUGGAUUCGCUAGUAAUCGCGCAUCAGCCACGGCGCGGUGAAUACGUUCCCGGGCCU
RNAcentral lists this ribosomal RNA (1358 nucleotides) under uncultured bacterium. Its description in RNAcentral is "bacterial SSU rRNA". It matches the Rfam family "Bacterial small subunit ribosomal RNA", at positions 28 to 1381 of the family's 1533-position model. The record is from RNAcentral.